UGCAUGAAGUUGGAAUCGCUAGUAAUCGCGGAUCAGCAUGCCGCGGUGAAUACGUUCCCGGGCCUUGUACACACCGCCCGUCACACCAUGAGAGUUGGGAAUACCCGAAGCCUGUGAGCUAACUUUUAGAGGCAGCAGUCGAAGGUAGAAUCAAUGAUUGGGGUGAAGUCGUAACAAGGUAUC
RNAcentral lists this ribosomal RNA (183 nucleotides) under uncultured bacterium. Its description in RNAcentral is "partial 16S ribosomal RNA". It matches the Rfam family "Bacterial small subunit ribosomal RNA", at positions 1317 to 1500 of the family's 1533-position model. The record is from RNAcentral.